UCCUUCCAUUUUCUCAUUUCUAGUGGUUGUGAUAUAACAGCCCUCUGUCUUCAUUAAUGCACAGGCCAUAAUUAAAGCACGUGGCUUUGAUUAAAGCCUCCCCACCUGGCAUGAAAUAGCCACUCGGUAGCAGGUGCAGAGGAUAUAUCCGCACUACCUUGACACCCCAAAAUGAUUUAAUUCCUUUUGGGAUUAGCAUGGGCGGAGGGUGGAAAAAGGGCAAGGUGGAAACGGGAAGAGAAAAUCAGGCUGGGAUUUGGGUUUGAGCUGGUCCUGCCUUGCCAGGAGCUCUGUGGCUCUCUCCUAGGCCACCGAGCGGGACCUCUGAGCCUCGGGGCUGCCAGCUCAGCGCCUUUCCUCGCCGUGAGGGCAGGGAAGAAGGUGGCAAGGGCGAGAAACCGAGAGCCAGGAGCCGAGAGCUGCUGCGGCCGGGGCGAUGCUGCGAGCGGCCAGCGGGCGCCACUGCCGCGCUGCGGCUGGGGGCUGAGCCUGGCUCCGUCCUUCCCUGCCCACCUCGGGGGUCCCCUGCUCACCUGUCCCCCUCCCCAGCUGCUUUUUCACGCCCUCCUGGCACAGAGCUGGGUAAAGAGAAGGAAUAAACGGGAGCGGGGAGGCUGGGAAGCGGUGGUCAGCAGGCAGGAAUUGGGGAAGCUGCUCUGUCGAAAGUAUCUGUACGUCCUAGGAGGGUGUUGUGGGGUUGUGUCAUGCUUUACAGAGCACGUCCUGGUGUGAUUUCUCACGUCCACGAACAGCAAAGGUCAUGGCCUCGCUGCAUGCUUGGCUGCCUUCAACCCUGGGUGAGAUCAAGAGGUGCCCAUGGCUUUCCUGAGCUCCUCCAAGCCUUUCUCUCCAUGCUGCACCCCAGGGAAACUCCCAGCAGCUGCUCCAGAAUCAGUGCAGAUGAGACCCUAUCAUCCAGUGGCAGAGAGGAUCCUGAAUGCUCAGAUAUAACCUGGUGACAUACAAAAUGCCUUCCAAUACUCCCGUCUCUCCCCAUCUCUCAGCAGCUGGAGGAAAUCCAUGCAUGCGGAGCAUGGGCCAGCACAGGCUGAAAUACCACCACCAUGUUUCACCUGCACUGCUUUUCCUUGAUGCUUUUCCAUUAUUUCUCUAGUGUUCAGCAGCCAUGGAAAUGACCCGUUGGUGCUGAGCAGAGCUGGGCUGCAAGGAGAAGAUGGGAGCUGGAGGAUGUGAAGAAGAGCUGGUGAGAGGAGGCCUCACCUGGUGCUGGAGUGCUUGGCAUGAAAACAACAAUACGCUGUUGUUAUUUAGUGCACCUGAUGUGAUAGUCCUUACAGCCGUUCUUCGCUUCAAUCGUUUACAAGCCCUGAUUUUAGUCCAAAACAAGCUUCCUUGAAAUAAAAUAAUCAUUUUCCAGUCUUCCUGUAGAAGCCAAAAGUAUUUUAAGUUGGCCUGGUCUGGCCUAAACACAAGGUGGGGAGGGGGUUGGUAUGUUGGGGACAUUUUAGUAAUGAGAGGAAGAAUGUGAAAGGAAGGAUU
This is a long non-coding RNA of Anas platyrhynchos (mallard), 1500 nucleotides long. RefSeq lists it as uncharacterized. Lineage: Eukaryota; Metazoa; Chordata; Aves; Anseriformes; Anatidae. The record is from RefSeq and is a predicted model, not a curated record.